GAAAUGCGAUAAGUAGUGUGAAUUGCUGAAUUCAGUGAAUCAUCGAAUCUUUGAACGCACAUUGCGCCCUUUGGUAUUCCUUAGGGCAUGCCUGUUCGAGCGUCAUCUAAUUCUUCAAGCUCCGCUUGGUGUUGGGCGCUUGUCCCGCCUUCGGCGUGGACUCGCCUUGAAAUCAUUGGCGGCCGUGUUAUAGGUCUACGAGCGCAGUACAACUCGCUGCUCUGGCAUCUAACUCACCCGGCGUCCAGCAAGUAAACCCAAAGAAUUGACCUCGGAUCAGGUAGGGAUAACCGCUGAACUUAAGC
This 305-nucleotide unclassified non-coding RNA is filed under the name plant metagenome. RNAcentral describes it as "partial contains 5.8S ribosomal RNA, internal transcribed spacer 2, and large subunit ribosomal RNA". The stretch from base 1 to 105 matches the Rfam family "5.8S ribosomal RNA", at positions 50 to 154 of the family's 154-position model. The record is from RNAcentral.